CCUACGGGGGGCUGCAGUGGGGAAUAUUGGACAAUGGGGGCAACCCUGAUCCAGCCAUGCCGCGUGUGUGAAGAAGGCCCUCGGGUUGUAAAGCACUUUCAGUGAGGAAGAACGCCUGGUGGUUAAUACCCAUCAGGAAAGACAUCACUCACAGAAGAAGCACCGGCUAACUCCGUGCCAGCAGCCGUGGUAAUACGGAGGGUGCGAGCGUUAAUCGGAAUUACUGGGCGUAAAGCGCGCGUAGGUGGCUUGAUAAGCCGGUUGUGAAAGCCCCGGGCUCAACCUGGGAACGGCAUCCGGAACUGUCAAGCUAGAGUGCAGGAGAGGAAGGUAGAAUUCCCGGUGUAGCGGUGAAAUGCGUAGAGAUCGGGAGGAAUACCAGUGGCGAAGGCGGCCUUCUGGACUGACACUGACACUGAGGUGCGAAAGCGUGGGUAGCAAACAGGAUUAGAUACCCUUGUAGUC
This 465-nucleotide ribosomal RNA is filed under the name Vreelandella stevensii. RNAcentral's name for it is "partial 16S ribosomal RNA". It matches the Rfam family "Bacterial small subunit ribosomal RNA", at positions 338 to 795 of the family's 1533-position model. The record is from RNAcentral. Lineage: Bacteria; Pseudomonadati; Pseudomonadota; Gammaproteobacteria; Oceanospirillales; Halomonadaceae.